UACGUAUGGUGCAAGCGUUAUCCGGAUUUAUUGGGUUUAAAGGGUGCGUAGGCGGGCUUUUAAGUCAGCGGUAAAAAUUCGGGGCUCAACCCCGUCCGGCCGUUGAAACUGGGGGCCUUGAGUGGGCGAGAAGAAGGCGGAAUGCGUGGUGUAGCGGUGAAAUGCAUAGAUAUCACGCAGAACCCCGAUUGCGAAGGCAGCCUUCCGGCGCCCUACUGACGCUGAGGCACGAAAGUGCGGGGAUCGAACAGG
RNAcentral lists this ribosomal RNA (252 nucleotides) under uncultured bacterium. RNAcentral describes it as "partial 16S ribosomal RNA". It matches the Rfam family "Bacterial small subunit ribosomal RNA", at positions 524 to 776 of the family's 1533-position model. The record is from RNAcentral.